UUUUUCAUGGACCCACAUUUGCUUGAAUCU
Molecule: non-coding RNA, 30 nt
Filed under: Rattus norvegicus (Norway rat)
Lineage: Eukaryota; Metazoa; Chordata; Mammalia; Rodentia; Muridae
Source: RNAcentral